This 424-nucleotide ribosomal RNA is filed under the name uncultured archaeon. RNAcentral describes it as "partial 16S ribosomal RNA". It matches the Rfam family "Archaeal small subunit ribosomal RNA", at positions 323 to 746 of the family's 1478-position model. The record is from RNAcentral.
CUACGGGAGGCUGCAGUCGCGGAACAUUUACAAUGCACGAAAGUGUGAUAAUGCGAACCAAAGUGCUAUUCUUUUUGAAUAGCUUUUUCUCAACGUAAAAACUUGGGAGAAUAAGGACUGGGAAAGACUGGUGCCAGCCGCCGCGGUAAUACCAGCAGUUCAAGUUGCAUCCAGUUUUAUUGGGUCUAAAACAUCCGUAGCUUGCCGUUUAAGUCUCUUGUGAAAUCCUACGUCUCAAGCGUGGUGAAGUGCAGGAGGUACUGAGCGGCUAGAGAUCGGUAGACGUAAGCAGUACGGGACGGGUAACGGUCAAAUGUGUUAAUCCGUCUUGGACUAACAAUCAGCGAAGGCAGCUUACGAGGACGAAUCUGACAGUGAGGGAUGAAGGCCAGGGGCGCAAAACGGAUUAGAUACCCGUGUAGUC